RNA transcript from Columba livia (rock pigeon), 13906 nucleotides. It is a transcript of the gene named TCL1 upstream neural differentiation-associated RNA, with no coding region annotated. The transcript has 4 exons. The record is from RefSeq and is a predicted model, not a curated record. Lineage: Eukaryota; Metazoa; Chordata; Aves; Columbiformes; Columbidae.
GGCAUGAUUGAAUUGCAGUUAGGGUGUUUUCUUCAUUUUUACCUGAUUCCAGGUUGUUUCUGCCAGGACUUCAGGCUGUUUGUUAACACCUUUGUCCUUUUGCAUGUGUUUAAAUGCUAUCACACAUUGCCCUCUUCAGUCUAGAUCUCUGUUCUCUCUAAUCUUCCUUCAGCAUUUUUUUCCCUUGUCAUCUCUGUUUCUCCUUUGCUCUAAGCCUUUCCACCACUAAUUUUAUUCUUGAGUUCACCUUCAUUUUCUCCUACUGCCCAAUGUUAACAUCUUUCUUCUUUCUGUUAUACCUCAAAUUUGUAAUUUAUCUUUUAUCUUGAGGGGUCUGAGGGGUAAUCGAGGACUUUGCAGUUGUUUUCAUGGGCUGAGGGACCUAGCUCACUUCAGAGUGUGGUGUACUCUUGGACCCUAUAUAGUUCAUAAAAGUCUGGGGAAAAAACAAUGGCAUUAUAUCCAUGUAUUCUGACAGCUCAUUACAGAGUCCCCCCAUUAAUCACAUGCAUGAUGUCUGUAACCAAUGUGUGGUAACAUUCUCUUAAAACAGCUGAAAGAUCAGAGCCAUUUUCCUUUGAUAAAGGAGUUUCUGUCUCUUUCUGAACCAUGAAAAAAUGCUGCCUCUCUCUCAAGAUAUUUGAUAUUUGGGCACUUGAAAACUGAGCAUAGGACAAUAAAUAAAAAGUCAUUUGUCAGUUUAGAUUCCCGUUGACACCAGCACUGGCAUGCUCUAGAUAUGUUUACAUACACAUUCUACUCUUUCAAAGGGAACAUAAUAUGCUUUGAUCUCUAGGGAACUCUCUCGAGAUAGCCCAAUGGCAGUCUGUCCAGCUCUGCAGUGUUAGAACUCAUUUUGCAUCUAACAUAGAGGAAAUGUUUGAGCUUAAUCACAGUUCUUGAAUUUCUUGUUGGUGUUGCUACAAGUGGAAGCGAUCUCAAACUGUUAUUUUAAAAUAUGUCUGAACUUAAGCCAAAACAGAAUCUUAACCAUGCUGACUCAGCUUCCUCAUUCUUGUGUACAGGCAAUUGUUGUUUAAGCACAAAUAAAUUUAUUCCAGAUAUGAAUAUGGAUAUGCACAGAGUGCAUCAGGAUUUAUGUUUCUGGUUAGAAACAAAAGUAACAAUCAUUAAAGACACCAGUUCCCACUGCUGUUUAUCUGUGUUUGUUUAUUGUUUCUUCUUACAAGACUCUGCACCCUGGACAGUGUUAACUUUUAGUAAUUGUGAUGGGUUUUUUUAUAAUUUUCUUUUAGGUCUUGGGACUAUUUUGUCAUCUGAUUACAUUUCACCAAGGAAAUUGUCCAAGAUGUAUUAUUUUGUGAAAAUAACUUGCCACAAUGUAUAGAAAGAAUUGUUUUUACAAGGAUUCUCUGAGCAGGAUACAGGGAAAAAGUAUAUUUGGAGGACUUUGGUGUUUGGGGACAUGCACGUAUUAUCUAAAACAAAUUGAUCCCAGCCUGUCAAAGGCUUUUCUCAUGCUAGAAUAGUCUGUGGAAAAAAUCCAAAUAACACAAUGCAACUUUAUAUUGUGCUUGCCAGGAUCCUGGCUCCUUGAGGGGCUGUACACCCUCACUCAGUUCCUGCUGAAUUUCAACAGGAGGUGAAGAUGCUCAGAGUCCUUCCUGGGACACUCAGACCCUCAAAGAAGGAGAGUGGGAUACCCAUAAGCCCUCUGCAAGGGUAAUGUCACCUUCCUAUGUGAAAGCAACCCUUGGAACAAAUUCAGUUCUUUACAGUCAGUAGCUGAAAUGCCAUGUCUCAUGGCAAACUAUAGAUCCUCUAGUGUUAUUAAUAUCCUAGCUUUGGGACAUACACACAUUGACCUCUAUUCCCAAAAUGUACCUUUGAGUGCUGGAAGUAUUUUGUACAAAAUAUAAGACAAGCGUUUUUUACACAAGGACUAUCGGACAUGGUGGAAGAGGGGUAAUUCAGACAUUCAAAAUAAUUUCUAGAGGCAGGUGCUCUUUGUAGUAUAUUGAAGUUCCUGAUGCUUAACAAGAUAGUGACAAAUUUCACAGCCACUGGCCUCUAUUUCUGAAAGAAGCUACUGAUAUCUUGUAUCUCUAUGUUUUUUUUCUCCUACUGCCCAACGUUAACAUGGUCCAGUCUUAAGUCCAUUCAACAUCAGACAACUCCAAAGAUUUCUCAGGUUGGGAACGCAAAAUACCUGGGCAUGCUAAAAAGACAGAAUGCAAGAUAAGCAUAUUUAGAAGUCAAAUGUGAGUUGAAAUCAGGAUGGGCAUUGAGAUUUCUGGCAUAUAACACCAGCGGCGUUGCCGCAGUGACAGUGCCGGGGGUAACCCUUCAUCUGUGGUUUCACUCUACCACACUGGGAAAUACAAUUAGUGUUCCGAAAGCACUGCAUGCCUCAUCAAUGGCAACAACAGUUUUUGGGUGGAAGUGCUGCUUCUGCUGUGAUAGAUGGUGCAGCUCUUCUACUGCCUUUUACUUCGAGAAUACUGCACGUGGUGCUCUGUCAAAGGCUUGGCUAGAGAGCAGCGCUGUGCUAGUGGGGAGACUCCCAACAGGAGCCAAAACCUGGCCAAAUUGCAGAGUUGAGGAGGAAGAGGGAAAUUUUCUUAUGGACUCAGAAGGGUCUGAGUAGAGUUGAUGCGGCACAAGAUGUCACUGAAAGUUGCUGGACUGAGUGGUAGGCUGGGAGUUCCCCUGCAAUGCUCAAAACCUUUGUUCCCACCUUCCUAUCUGCAGCUUUUCUAAAAGCAGUGGAGCUGCUGAGCAUCCAGGAAGAGUAUUUGCCUUCCACCUGGGCAUCAGAUACAGAGAGGGAGUUGGCAGCGUAUCUAAUGCCUAGGGACAUAUGAGCAAAUGCUUUCCUUACAAGAAAAUCAGUAGCCCAAGCAUUAUCAAAGGGCAGAUGUUCUUCCAUGCACUCAAAAUCUUAGGGUACUUGUGUUGCAGCAAAAUACAGAAUUGUGCAGAUGGCAAAUAGUGGAAUAUGCAAACUGAAUUAAACUUAGUGCUGCAGCUUUUUCAGGCAAAGCCAAUCACUAUCACUGAUUUCUUCUGUGCCAAGGAUGUGGAAUUUGAUGUAUUUGGUGUGUGCAGUUUGUCAGAACUUAGAUGUGAAACAUGGACUGUAUCACACAGAUGCACAUUGGCUGUAGCCUCUCUGUCCUCUGGGAUAAUGGAAACAGAAGUUAAUUUAAAUUUUUUUUUUCAAGAUGUGAUGCUUUCACUGACUAGAAAGGGCUAGAUCAAGAUCUGCUGUGGGAAAAAAAGAAACAGAAACAGAAAAAGGAAAAUGAAAAGAAAGAAAAAGAAAAAGAAAAAGAAAAAGAAAAAGAAAAAGAGAAAGAGAAAGAGAAAGAGAAAGAAAAAGAAAAAGAAAAAGAAAAAGAAAAAGAAAAAGAAAAAGAAAAAGAAAAAGAAAAAGAAAAAGAAAAAGAGAAAAGGAAAAAGAAAAAGAGAAAAAGAAAAAGAGAAAAAAGGUAUGACAGUGUUAGUAAUUAGAAGGGUUUAAAUUCCAGGACCUCGUGUUCUGCAAGAUUUGGUGGCACUGCAGGUGGUCAGUGUGCGUGGAAAGUAUGAAAGGUGACAGCUGGACUGUAAAUUUGUGCAGCUGGGCGGUUCCUCUGUUUUGUGCUUCAACAGCAUUUGGUUUGGUGGCAUUUUGGUCUGUGACUGGGCUCUUCAUACAAAUAAAUGGAAUGUUUUCUUUAUGGCCCUGAAGCAAAGAGGCGUGUGUUUGUGCUGCAUACAUUAUCUGAGCAAAUUCAGACCCAGCAUCAUAUUGUUACAUCCAGAAGAGCUUCAGGUCACAGCAGAGUUUCAACCAGCUCCUUCCAAGAUGUUUUUGGUGACUGUGUAGUGAUGCCCAGGGACACAGGAGCCAGCUGGCAAAGCUUCUCACCCACAGCCUCUCAAAAUCUAUUUUUACAGGCUUCUGUGGGAUUUGAAUUAGGGUUUUUAGGCUGAAGUUACUAUUUCUUGGUGCCAGUAAUUGGGUCAGUUAUUCCAAAGUGUUCAGCGCUUAUGAUUCUUCUAACAGCCUUCAUAGUCAUAUUUUCCAGAGAGCCCAAAGACGUGAUGUGUUUAUGUUAUAGAAAGAGCUGUCACUAAUAUGUUUAUUUGUAUCUAGGGGUUGCAGCAUUAUUAAAUGUUCAUUAUUCACAUAGGCUCAAGACAAUAUUGGUAAGGAUAAAAUGUUCUAUGGUACUGAUAAAUGCUGCUUUCACAUACACAUCUCCAAUAGAUUUUUGAACUAUCUGAUAGGUUUCUCAGGGGAGCAGAAGCAAUUACAGUAGUUACAUAUACUGAAUUUUCUUUCUUUCUUCCUACCUGUUUGCCUCUAAUAAACAGAAAACUUCUAAUUUUCUUUGCACUCUGGCAUGCUAGAAAUUAAUGGAGUAAAUGCACAUGCUGUUUACAUUGCCAGAAACUGGCUUAUACAACAGAUUUUUACUCUGUAAGACAGAUUUUGCUGUAUUUGUGCUUUUUUCAUCUCCCCCUGAGGAGCAUUAACUCAAAGCAAUCACAAGACACCCAUCCUUGCCUGCUGCUUCUUGAAUUGUUAUAUCUUCUUUGCUUCAUGCUUCUCUAUUUUUGUUAGGAGGAAAGAGCAGCAACUGAAAAAACCUAAAGGCUGCCUCCUUUCCUAAAAUCAUAACUAUUUGAUGUGAGCAAGAUUAAACAUGUAAAACACUCUUGUUCCCAUAGAAUUUACUUUCAGCAGCUGUGUUCUUUCUACUCAAAUCAAGAUAUGUAGAGCGCUCUGCAAAGUACAGCAUUGAAAAAGGAAGAUGUGUACACGCUUGAAAAAUCCUGAGCUGCUUGUGAAGCUAUAGACACUGCAUGUUUAUGACUUGGUUUUCUAAGCAAUCUCCAGAGCUUGAACGGAUUACAGUGAUAUUUUAACAAGGCUUCUGGCAUCCAUCACCAGCUUUCACUUGCUGAGAAAGCUAAAAGAUGGAAGAAUGUAAUUAUUUCCAUGUAAGCUGAAUGCUAGUGGCUGAUUGUCAUGAGAACUUCAAUGCUUUAAACUUCUUUGUCUCUUGUAAGGCAAGCAGGCAAUACUGCUUUUAAAAAUCUCAUUCAGUUCUCUAAUGGCAGCUACUGGAAAAGGUGCAUUUUGCAAGGAAUCAAGUGAUGGUCUCUGUCAAGUAUUAAACUACAAUUGGGAUGAAGGCCAAUGUUUUGUCCCUCUGAUGACACCACGAAUCUGGGAGUGAAGAACUUCUCAGAGCUGAUUGAAAAUGGCAUUGCGGAGCUGAAACUUAACUGGAGGAAAUAUAUCUCCUGAAGAAGAAAAUAUAAUGCACAGUAAGGAUCUGACUUCUGGUGAAAAAUUCAAGCCUAGAGAAAACUUGUCCGCUUUGUUAGGAAGAAUGGGUUGGACAAUUUUCUUCAGUUCCAAAGGAUAUCUGAAUGCCAUGCUGAGCUUAAUCUCUGCAGCAUGCUCUGUGAUUCUCAUCUCUUCCUGAUGCACUGCAUGGUUAUCCUGAAGGGGACGAUAAAGAAACUGGCCACCAAGAUGGUAAUCACUAGUGGAAAUGAAGAAGAUAAAGGCAGUCAAGAAAAGGAAAGCAAAGAAGAAACCAUCUUGGCGAUGCUUGGAAUUAUUGGGACAAUUCUAAACCUCAUUGUGAUCAUUUUUGUGUAUAUUUACACAACGUUGUAAACUAGGAGGCAUGCAAAUAGACCAGAUAAAACAGCCAUUAAGAGUGACGACAAACAUUGCUAACUAUUGACAAGUUGUUUAAUCAGAAUUGACUCUGUAUUAUAUUAACACAUCAUAAAAGCACUGCCUGCAGGCAGCGAAGGCUGAAGCACAACUAAUUUAACAAGACUUCUUCACACAGUAACAAGCUCAACUCUUCUGUCCUGCCCUCUUCCUUUCAGUUUGGUUUUCGGUUUGGGGGAAAAUGACUGCAAUUAUGUAAGUUGUAGCUUUGAAGAAAUCCACCAAGGAUAUGUUGUUUUAACACAAUUCAAAGGAAACAAAACAAAAACAAAACCAGAAAGAAACUGUACACUAUAUAUAAUUAGAAAUGUAUACUGUAUACUCGCAGAGAUUGAACUCCAAGAUAGCUUCAUAGCACAGAUCACGUGUCUGUUAGAGCAAACGAUAUUUUUCUCAUGGUUUUUGCUUUUACUUACAUUGAAUCUGACAAGCUUUUUAUUUAGAAUGAACAUAUGGUGCAAUCAUGAAAAAACAAUUCCAUUGAGCAAGGUCUGCCUAAACCUGAUAAAAUGUUGGGAGAAAUACAUUACAUGGUUAUUUUUCCUUUCUCAUUUGCUUAACAUCUGUGUCUGUUCAUACCAAUGUUUAUAAAUAUAUAUUUUUAAUAAAUGUGCUAUAUUUUUAGCAUGAACCAAAUAUUUGAAGACACUCGUAUUCAUGCAGCUAAAUUUUGUUUGAUGAAGUGUCCUUUUUGACAAUGGAUGUUAUUUUUCUCAGCAAUUAUAUAGCAGUCUUGUUUGCAGCCCUCUCACUGUAGUCUGAAGCAAGCUCAUAUCAUGCUCAUAUGCAUGACUUGAAGUUGGAAUGUCAGCUGAAAAACAUUGCUGCUUAAUACGGGAAAUAGCAAAACAUUGUAAGGUGACCUUUGGAGACUGGUUGCAGAAAGAAGGCUCUAUUUAUAGUUUAAAAAAAAAAGGCAAAUGGGAGAAAUGUUGAAGUGUCUCACAAAAUAUUACGAAAUUCACAGAAUUUGUGGCUUUCAAAGUCUGGUCACGCUCUCGAAGUACUUAUAUUGAGAGAAGUGAGCAGAGGUUUAUGCAGUUGAAAAGAGAAGUUUACAGAGCUUGUAGUGAGGGGCUUAAGUGAAAUCCAGAUUGUAAAUACAGAGUAUAUUUUAAAUGUGAGGAUGAUUAACCCUUUACACUUCUCUGAUGUGCUUUAACUGAGGUUGGUGCAGUGAUAUUCUCUGACUUGUGUUUUUGGCAGGAAUGUACAAUGAUGGUGAUUACAAUUUUUCUUCAGAGUUCAAUACCUAUAAAUAUAUGAAGCAUUAAAAAUAUGAGACCUCAAUUCUGCCUCAAGCUGCCUAAGUACAUUGCCCAUUAACUCCGACAUAGUCUCUUAAAAAAUAGGUCAAUUAAUUGUUUACUGACUGUGGUUUGGAUUGCAUCUUCACAUGCACAAGGGGGAUUGCUAUUGAAGCAGCUUGAGCUGUAAAAAGUUUGAUCGAAGACUCAUUGAUUUCAGUGAUCAGUCCUGUCCCUCUGGAAUCAGUAAUCAGCUUUUCACUGAUUUCCAGGGACUAGGACUGGUCUCAAAAAUACAGAACUUCAUUGUAGGAAAUAAGAGCAAGCCUGGAAAACCCUGAGGGGCACCUCUCAUAAACACGGGUCUCUUGUGGUGUUGCACAUUCAAAAAGAAAACCAUUAGGAGAAGGGAAAAGGUCAGUAAAUGAAUUAAAAUGAAAUCCAAGACGAAGACUGAAGGAAAAAAGAGCAAACAUAAUCUCAUGUUACUGAAAACAGGACAGGGUGAGAGAGGUGAGAAAAUGAGCAGAGAUUUGAGCAAGCAGAGAAUGGCACAGAAAGAAGGUGAUGAACAUGCCGGGGUAGUUGAGGAAACAUUUGUGCCUCCUUGAUACUGGGAGAGCUGCAGAUUUGGAGAGGGUGAGAAACAUUAGUGGCACAGUUCCAUGGAGCCGAUUAAGCUGAGGUUGGUUUUUAACUUAUAGUUAUUUAUUGGUAAUUCUACGGAAUUAGCAAACUCUGCUUUUUGAUCAUCCUGAAUGAAAAAAAAUGGCUAAAAUAUAUUUGCCUCCACUUUACAUUUUCCUUCUGGUUAAACUACUGCUGAUCAGGGUAUGUGGCAAUGGCCCUGGUGCUCAUGUCCCAAAGCACACCUGCACAUGCUGCAGGCACCUGGCAAUCCCCAGCCUGCCACUGCCGCUGGUGGGAUCCUCUCUGCAGGUGUUUCUCUUGAACUUUUCUGCCUCCUUUUCCAGCAAACACUGAAUCACUCUGUGGGUGGCUUAUACUCAUCUUCUAGAGGAGAAGCAUGGGAAAGAGCAGUGUCCAAGGCAAGAGAUGAGCUCUCAUGCUUGAUGUUUCCUUACCUCUGUCUGCAUCAAGUGACCAUACUUGUCACCUUCUUCUGAGCAUGAAGAUGCUUAAUGAAUGAAAUGUAAUUAAGUACUUCUAUUACGUAAUUAAGUACUUCUAUUACUGUUGUAAAUUAAAGCUCUGCAUUGUAAAACAACAUAGAACACCCCUCACCACCCCACCCUCCCCCAAAGUAACGUAGAAACUUUUGCUGCUCAUCACAGUUGCGUUCCUUCAGACAUGGGCCAGCAUCUUCACCAAGACAGGCACUGGAAAUACCCAAACGUGUUUAAGCUGAACUGGUGGGUCACAAAGCCCAAGGACUCUGUGUUCACUCUGCCUUUCCAAACAGACCCAUUAGCGGAAGAGUUUCCAGCUGUGGGUGUGCUGUACUUUGUUAGCGUAGGCAGCGUGUACAGGCGUCUACCGCCCUGCACCGUCAGCAGCCGUGUGCUCCACGCUUUGCCACAGGGUUUUUAUUGCACCCUGAAAUAGGAAGAAAGCUUUAUCCCAUUCCAUUAAAAGUUUAACACUUAAUAUUUUAGUUUUACAGGUUUCUGUUCACAGAUAGUUCUAGAAAUAUCCUGGGGCAAGUACCUCUUAAGUAGAUUCAUUAAGUAUUCAUUUAACUAAAAAUGAAUAGUUUCUUUCGAGGGCAAUUCCUUUACCUUUUAUUUGAUAUUCAUGAUAUGAGAAAAGUAUGUUUGCAAGAAUGACUGUGGGAGGAAAAUGCUUCAUACAAAGAUCUGAAGUAUACCUACCCAGGCAGCCACACGCAGGCCUCAAUACCGGCUGGAGCCAAAUUACCUAAAUUACCCUUGUGCUUUUUAUAUGAGCCAUUUUCAGCAUGCACCUAUAAGUAAUAUUCAACUAGGUAACAUAUAUAUCAUAGAUACCUUAUAGUCAGUAACUACAGUAUAAAUAGUUGAAUAAAACUUCUUAUUUCAGAUGCUGAAUGGUAAAUCUGCUUUGGCAAGGAAAAAGCCAAUAGUCUCAUUUUUGGCUUGACUUGUGGGUAACGGAGAUAGUUUCCAAAGUACAUUUUUAAAAAUAAAAUAUUAGUCCAUUAGUGACAGGAACUUUCAUGUUUGCAUUUGAGUAGAAGGAAAUUAAUAUCCAAUAUCUUAAUAAGAUAUGAAAACAUCACCUUUUGCUUCUGUCAGCUAAGAAUACCAUUUCAUUUUUAAAUCCUACGUAGUUUGACUGUUUGUGUUAUUGGAAUGAAAAAUUUUUCCUGAGGUGACGGGAAGGUGACAUUCUCCCCACUAGUGCCUGGUGUGUUGUCUGGUGGGUACAGAAUACUUUAAGAAAGAAGAAGAUAUAACUAUUUAAGUCACAUUAUGCACACAACAAAGUGAAGAGAAAGAAGAAAGACCACCUCCAUCAUCUCUGGUUCCUAAAACUGCCACUGAAAAUUCAUAAUUUCAGGAGUCCUGUUUUCAUACAGGAAUGUAUCUUCUUAUGCACCAGCCAACAGGGCAGUCUUUUGCUCCUUCUGCCUGUAUCUCUGCAGCAGUGCGCAGCUCUUCGCACCUUAGGACGGUUUUUAUGCAUACACAGCUUGGGAGCCUCUGGAAGACUCUGGAAGCUGCUGGUUUGAUUUACUGUGACAUAAAUGUCUUCUAUGGGGCAGAGUUUUAUUAUUUUAAGGAUAGUCAGUAAUCAUCUUCGCAUUAUUGUCUGAUAACUAGGGCAUGCUUUACUGGUUGAAUUCCCAGACCCAUCCCUCCCCUGGACCACAGGUAAAAUUUUGAUUCAGUAGACAUCAGAUUAAAAAGCUUCAGUUACUUCAUAAUGAAACUUUAGUAAGAAGCAUUGCUUAAGUCCAAGUGUCUUACAUUUCCUUUUAAUCCGUCCAUGUCAGGAGGUCUCAUAGUUUCUGAGUGAGAAUUGGCGUUUGAGAGUGCAUUGUGGUAUAAGCAGAGAACUUGGCCCAGAGAGGGGAACAGGGAUCAGAAGUUAAACCCCCACGGAGGCAGCACUGCAGAAUUUGCUAAUUAAAUAGUUUGAAGCUUGGCUGGAGUACUUUGUUUCUGGCUAGCCAGUGUUUUGGAGGAAGAAAAAAAAAUAUUGUUCCUUGGAAAGUUUCUGAAAGAAAUAUGUCUAACUGAAAGAAAGAACCUCAUUGAAAAUGUUUCAGCAGCAAUUUCCAGCAGCAACCUUCCAAAGAAAACACCAACCAGGCCUCCAAGUGGCUCUGGCUCUCUUCCCAAGAGUACUUCUGGCAGCCCAGGAACACACUGCACAUAUAUGUAAUCACUUCUUGUUUACUGAGAGGCUUUUUCUUCUUUGGAGCAGAAUGCAGAGGUCUACAAAAAUUAACAAAUAUAAGGAAUAGUACAUUAUGCAGUCUUAAAAAAACAAAAAACAAACCAAAACAAAACACAAAAAAGCUGUUCACCCUUAUUUCCAGCAGAUUCCCUGCAGACACCCUGCAGAACCGGCACUGCUUCUGUGCCUGACUGUGCAUUUUGGAGGCUCUUCCCAAAGAUUCUUACAAAAUCAGUAUAGCUUUCCUUCUCCACCACCGAUCCAUGAGAAACAAAACCUGUUCACCAUGGAAACCUCCAUGCCAGGCUGAAAUCCCAGAUGCAUCCAUACAUAUUUAUCUACACAUGAACCAUCUGGUAUCCAAUAAGACCCUCCUUGUCUUAAGUAUUAUGUUUGCUUGUUUUCAUUUCACCAGGGGACUCCGUGAAAGGCAAUUUGUAGGGUUGAAAGCACCCAACUGUUCCCAAUGAUACAACUUUACAUAAUCCAGCUGUUGCCUAGAAAGGUGCCUGCUCAUCCUGAAAUAUGCCUGUUGUCAUGUAUGUGGCACACAGUCCUCCACGUGUAGCCUCUCACUUGCAGAGUGUCCAUGAUUGCAAAGGGUGUAGAUUUGGGCUGUAACUGGCCCCUGCAGAAGGAUUUUGUACCAAAACCUGGAUCCCAAGUCAAGCUCUGUAUAGUGAAAGGAUAUCCCGCCAUAAAAGCUACUUAGCUUUGCUCACAGCACUGAGGUACCUUCUUCUGCAACCAGUACAAGUUCAGUUUAAGAUGAUCCAUGCACCACCCUGGCUUACUCCUUGAGAGCAGCAGAGCUUCCUUCCAUGUGGGUGAGGGAAACAGCUUUGGACUUCCCUAAUCUCCUAGGAUAAGAAACAAAGUCCCUCCCACAAGAGAUAGCAGCAGGAGUAUCCAUUGUUUGGUGACAAAAAUUAGGUCAUUUGCCUGGAGUGCUGGCAGAGUCUCUUUUUCCUACUAUCGUCCUACACAGCCUGGGAAAUGCAAGUUUAUUAUGUGGUCUCUGAGUUCUCUGCAGGCUCAGUCACCAGUUAGACUCAGGCGGACUUGUUUUAUGAUGCUUAGACUUUGUUAUACUCAAAUGUCUUCUGGAGCCAGGUCUCCAGGAAUAGAUUAAAGGCCCAGAUAUCUUAAUCUGGUCUUGAUACCAUGAAGCUCUCACAAUAAAAAGAGCCUCAGAUAUUGUCAGUCUCUGACAGCAGUGUCAAUGGACCAGCAUGACCUUGGGACACCAGAUGGGAACCACCAUGGCAGGAUUCAUGCAGAGUAAGCUUUCCACACUACUUACUUACCUUCUUGAGGAGCAACGGUAUUAUGGUGGAUUGAUAUUGGUGGUGGGUAAAUGUAAUAAAAUGUUUGUGCAGCAAACUUAAUGAGAAAAGAUUUAUAAAUAAUUCUGGCUUUGUCAAUUUAAGAUAUGAAUUAAAAUUUACUAUAUAUGUUUUCAAAUUUUAAUGUGCUGCCUUUUUUUCCUGUUACUAAUCCAUUCAAUUUUAGUUUUGCAGGUGCUGUUCUUAUUUCUGUAAUAAUGAUGGCUAAUGCGAAAUUGUUGGUAUUGGAUCCAUAAGGAAAGGAUGAAGACAGUGUUGUAGAUGUUUUGUUAAUUUGAUAUUGUGGGCAAGAAAAGAUAGUCAGUGGUUUUCUUUGCAUUCAGUGCACAUUGUCAGCAGUAUUUUUAUAACAAUUUGAUACCAUUAUUUCUGGAGCCUAAAGGAAUUCUGUGGGACAACGAUUCAGCAUUUAGAGCUGUGCAUUUUCAAACAAAUGUCAGCAAACAGAGAAGAAUAUGAAGUGUUUGCGUUAGCUAAAAGAAGACAAUGUCAGACAUAUGUAUUUUUAGUAGAUUCAGACUCAAAAUUGAGACCAUAAAACUAUCAUUCUUACACUGCUGCUGCUGACAUUGCAUAAUACACACCAGGACAUAAUUUAGAUGCUCACCCUGCUGAGACUAUGCAUGUACAUAACUCAGACUGAGGUACUAAAUUCCUUUACAGUCAAUACGCAUAUGAACAGGUAUUUACAGGUUUGGGGCAUUAGCUGAUAAUUCAGCUAUAGAAACAAGGCAAGUAAUCAGACAGGGAAAAAUACUACAUUUCCUGUCAAAUGAGCUAUUUCUCUUUGCCUCAUUUACCUUAUUUUCAGUUGAUCUGUUUGAGUCUAUAUCGUUGAUGAGAACGAUGCUAAAGCCUGUCUUACAUAACCAAUGAAAGAACCAAGACAAUGGAAUAUUCAAUCUACAUCUUCCACCAGAAACUAGGCAUUUCCAUAAACUGCUUUGAAAAAAAUCUCAGUGCUGAAUAUUUCACAUUUUCCUUUAUAUGAAUCAGCACCAGCCAACUCACUAACUCAUUAGUGGCUUUAUCAUAUUUCUAUUUGAUUGUGUGAUAAUAUUUAUGUAUAGUUUUCACUGAGCUGUGCAAACACUAGCAAAUGGAUUUUGCAUCCUUUGUCACUUUUUAGGUUUUGUGAGCCUCUUUGUCAUACAUACUGAUCUCCUGUUUUAAAGGUCAGGAAGAGAAAUAUAACCACAUCCUUAGAGCAACAUACAAUUUUGCACACCUCACUACAAGUUUAGGUAGAAAAUAUAUGGCCUUUUACACAAAACAGGGGGUCUUAUUUCUUGAGCCUCUUCACAUGGCCGGCCCCAAGUGACCCUAAUACUGUGCUGAGUAUGACAAUCCUACAAGAUUAUGUUCUUCCAAUUUUAGAAAAAGGAGUUUAGCUGUCAAACUCCUUGAAGCGGUGCAUUGCACCAUCUUUGCAAUUUACAGAGCAAGCCAAAAAAUCUGAUGACCGUAGAUGGUGCUCAGCUCCUGGCUGACCUUCCCCCAUGGUGCAGCAGCCCUCGGUGCACCCUGACAGACCAAGUGCCCAGUGCCCUUUAUAUUUGAUGAAAGGCAACCAUAGUCAGCAAUUAACUUUCCAGAAUUUGAAAUAUCACCAUUACUAAUGUGCAUGGUUCCACUGGUGCAAAGACAUAAAAUAGCACCACAGCUAUUACCAAGGCAGUAGCCAAACACUAGCAUGACUCAACACAGAACCUUUACUGUUCUGUUUGGGUGUUAAAACACCCAAACUUGGGGCUUUCCUCCCUCUGUGAUGACCUCUCAUCAUCAGAGAUGCUGAGAAAGUGCUUUUUCUACCUAUUGAAUAUUUACUAUUUUUUGAAAUAGUUUUUGACCUGAGCUGAAGCAAAACCUUCAGUAAUUUGGAGAUUGUCACAGAAUGGGAUUCAGAAACAAUUGUUUGUUGAAAUUUGUUUUUAUUUGUUUUAAACAUAUUUUGUUUUGGAUGUUUUCUUUUUCUUAAUAGAAGAAUAAUUUAAAACUGAAAAGUUGUUUCAGAUUAAAAUAAAAACUAAAGGUUCCAAAAAGCUAUAAUACUUUGCCCACAUUUUUUCCUGCAUAAAUUUUCAUUGGAAAUGAAAUUCUGUGGAGGAAAAAAAAUGCAAACUUUUUGUUGAGUUAUCACCUUCUCACUGAAAACUACUUGGAUUACACUGUUUGGACUCAUUCUCUCAAUUGUCAGUAGUCCUUGUGUAUGUGGUAGAAGGGUAGAAGGUAUCAAAUAAAGAUUCCUGACAUUCUUUCAUUUCUUC